Non-coding RNA from Oncorhynchus mykiss (rainbow trout), 615 nucleotides. The record is from RefSeq and is a predicted model, not a curated record. NCBI's taxonomy places the organism in Eukaryota, Metazoa, Chordata, Actinopteri, Salmoniformes, Salmonidae.
UAUGUCAUGUCUGUGCUUCUUAUUUUGUAGUGUUUAUUUAUACACGCACUCCCUGAACUUGCUCCCCAACUCUCAGUGCUCAUCAUUACAGAAUAACACCUCACCUAAGGGAAGCAUCAGGGAGUGUUUUUAGUUUUUUUGGUGGGAAUGACAUCGGGUCCAGGAGCCGCUACAGGCUCUCAUGCCCUGCCUCCGCUGGUUCGUCUGGCUCUCAUGCCUCAGCCAGAUCUCCAGGCUCCAGUGCCUGUCAGGUUCCCACACCCCAGCCGGCGACAGGUCAAAGCUGUCCACAGUUGCCUGUGAGGACAUAAAGGAACUGGAGAAGAAGUUCCAGAAGAAAGUAGAGCAGCUCAUCCAGAAAUACAGCGACACAUUCAAAGCGCUCAAUACAACUCACUCCUAGAUGUUUUAAAGCCCUCUGUAGUUAAGUUUUAUGACUCAACAAAUUCAUGUUUUAUUUUAAUCUCAUCCACUAGGGGUGAUGGCAGACACACAGAAUGUAUUCAUGUUGUUUUUCUCUUGGCCCGUUUAAUUAACAAGAAUUAUAUUUAGACGUAUAAUAAUUAGCUUUAGGCAGAUUUUGAAUAUUCCUCAGCUAAUGUGUUUUUCUUGGUA